Molecule: ribosomal RNA, 665 nt
Filed under: uncultured Pseudomonas sp.
Lineage: Bacteria; Pseudomonadati; Pseudomonadota; Gammaproteobacteria; Pseudomonadales; Pseudomonadaceae
Description: bacterial SSU rRNA
Rfam family: Bacterial small subunit ribosomal RNA
Source: RNAcentral
AAGAAGCUUGCUUCUUUGCUGACGAGCGGCGGACGGGUGAGUAAUGCCUAGGAAUCUGCCUAGUAGUGGGGGAUAACUUGCCGAAAGGUAAGCUAAUACCGCAUACGCCCUACGGGGGAAAGCAGGGGACUCUUCGGAGCCUUGCGCUAUUAGAUGAGCCUAGGUCGGAUUAGCUAGUUGGUGAGGUAAUGGCUCACCAAGGCUGCGAUCCGUAACUGGUCUGAGAGGAUGAUCAGUCACACUGGAACUGAGACACGGUCCAGACUCCUACGGGAGGCAGCAGUGGGGAAUAUUGGACAAUGGGGGCAACCCUGAUCCAGCCAUGCCGCGUGUGUGAAGAAGGUCUUCGGAUUGUAAAGCACUUUAAUUUGGGAGGAAGGGCUUACACCUAAUACGUGUGAGUUUUGACGUUACCAAAAGAAUAAGCACCGGCUAACUUCGUGCCAGCAGCCGCGGUAAUACGAAGGGUGCGAGCGUUAAUCGGAAUUACUGGGCGUAAAGCGCGCGUAGGUGGUUCGUUAAGUUAGGAGUGAAAGCCCCGGGCUCAACCUGGGAAUUGCUUCUAAAACUGGCGGGCUAGAGUACGGUAGAGGGUGGUGGAAUUUCCUGUGUAGCGGUGAAAUGCGUAGAUAUAGGAAGGAACAUCAGUGGCGAAGGCGACCACC